CACAAAUUUAAUAUCCUACAACAAAAUAUAAAUAAUCCAAACCAUAUUCUAUGAUUAAAUAUACAGUCAUCCAAAUACCAAAUUACAAAUCCCUAAUAAUACAAAUAACAAUAAUUCAAAUUCAAAUUAUAAAGUAAGGUAAUUUCUUUAAUUCUCUCCAUUUUGUCUUUGUCACCUUGAAAAUAAAAAUCCUAAACCAAAAAGUAAAUAAAAUAUAAUUAACAUGCUACAAUUUUGAUAAUAGUCAUUGUAAAAUUUUAAAUAUUAAAUAUAUAGCAAAUUUACAAUACUAUUAAGAAAAUAAUAAUUAAAUCUAUAAAACCAAAAAAAUAGACAAGAUAAAUCUACAAAGCCGAAAAAAAUAGGCAACAUUUUAAGUACUCAUGAUGCAUAAUAUGCUUCUAGGUUUGGCCAACUGUUACUUGGGUGAAUUUCCAGUACGUCCCUCAUUUAUUAUCUGAGCAAGAAAUGAAAAAUUAACAUUGAUGGCUACUAAGUAGUGGAUCCUCAAAAGACAAAUCCAAAUCAAGAUGAAUAAAAGACAAACCCAAGCCAAAACGUAGCACUUGUUGGAUGCAAAAAUAAUAAAAAAGAGAAAAAGAAGUGGAGCUUACUGUGAUUUAUGCAAGAUGAUGACUGCUGCUGGACUGUUGGUUGAGAAAUUGUGAAAUCGUGGCUGAGUUGCUAAGAGAUGAAGGGAAAGAGAGUGUGAAAUGUGAGAUUAGGGCCAGCUGCUCUAAUUGCUAUUUCACUUUGCUUUAGCCAAUUGCUUAAAAUUAUAAUAUUAACCUCCCAAUUUUAAAAAGUUUUCAAAUAAAUUUAAGGAUAAAAAAGUAAUUUAAUUAAAUGAAUUGACUUGUAUUCAAUUCGUUUAUGACAUGUCUAUUAAACAAAUCUUAAACGAAUAGACGAAUCUAAAUCUUUAAACCCGCAUUCGAUUCGUUUAAUUAGCGAAUCGAAUCGAAUUCACCCAUUUAUUAAACGAAUCCAUUUUUUCAAACCCAAACUCAUUUAAUGCGAAUCGAAUCGAAUCGAAUAAACGAAUCCCGACUCAUAUUGUCACCCCUAGUUUGGAUGAGAUCUUAGUCAAAAGCUGGCUAAAACAUCCUUUUUACUUUUG
This 1120-nucleotide long non-coding RNA is filed under the name Citrus x clementina. RNAcentral's name for it is "Citrus clementina (C. clementina) long non-coding RNA (CCLE_LNC001162)". The record is from RNAcentral. Lineage: Eukaryota; Viridiplantae; Streptophyta; Magnoliopsida; Sapindales; Rutaceae.